RNAcentral lists this long non-coding RNA (1598 nucleotides) under Zostera marina. RNAcentral's name for it is "long non-coding RNA (ZMAR_LNC002994)". The record is from RNAcentral. Lineage: Eukaryota; Viridiplantae; Streptophyta; Magnoliopsida; Alismatales; Zosteraceae.
AGCAAAUAAACCAAGAGAAAAACAAUAUAGAAUAUAGGAGAUUUAAAAAAAUAUAUUUUAUUAUAUAAUGUAAAAUUUAUAACUUAACCUUUAAAAUAUAUUAAUAUAAUGUAAAAAUUACAUUUAACUUCUUAUAUAAUUUAAAAUCAUAUAUAGGUCUUUAUAAAAUCCCUAACUUUUAAGAGGGGCAAUUGACCUCCCUUGCCCCCGGCUAUGCCCUGCCAUAAUAGAUUAAUAGUUGAUGAUACCCCUGAUCCAUCAGACCAGACCUGCCCCAAGAGCAAGAUUAACAUGCACAAUUAGCCCAACAAGGCAGAUGGGCCCGAACUCGGACGGGUCGAGUUUAGCCUCAACGGGCCAGACCGGAACGGGUUGAGCAAAUUGAAAGUGGUCCAACAGAUAAAGGCUCAGUCCAGAAGGAAAGUGUAUAAAUACCCCUAGGGGUUUAGUGUAAAAAGGGGAGAGACUUUUGUAACAGAGAUUGUUUGGUAAACUAUUAAUACUAAACGAUCAGUGGUGAACCUGACGUGAAAUGGACUCAGUGCAGCCGGAACAAACCAUUCAGAUGGAAGAAAAUAUGGGAAUUACGGUGGUAACGGAUGCGAACCGGGAAAACCAGCCUUUACUGGUUAUUCACGAAAAACAGCCUCCGCCAGUCACCCAUGAAAAUCAUAAUUCGGAUAGAAUAAUCCAUGAAGAUGUCAGAGAGGAGCCUUGUCGUUCUUUUCAACAAACGAGGAGCAAUCUUCGGUCUGUUGACAGGAUUCUACAAGAGAGUGAUACACACUUUAGUUCAUCUGAACACAGUAGAUCACGGUCAAUCACGCUCGAGCGGCGUAGGGGCAGACAACCCAGAUACGGUGAACAAAAUUUACGAGAAGGAGAUAUCCGAAUCCUAUCAAUUAUAACGGGAUUAGAAAAUAGUCAAAGGCAAUUGCAAGAGAGGAUUUUAACAUUAAUGAUAGAUAUGAAUAAACGAAAUUCAGAAAGGAAUGAAAUGCUACCUGCACAGACACCCCGUGUACGUAUUGGGUACUUGGACCAACCCGUGCGGACGGGAAAUGAGGAGGCCCCGCGCAACAUCUAUUGUUAGAAGAAUACCCAGUGGGAUGGCGUGCCCCUAAAAUGAUAAUGUAUGAAGGAAGCAUCGAUCCAGAGGAUCACAUCCAUUCGUUCCGUACGGAAAUGGAGGACACGACGAGGCGAAAUGACAUAUGGUGUAGAAUGUUUAGAAGGUACUCUUAGAGGCGAGGUUGUCGGAUGGUAUAUGAAUCUCCCUGUUGGCAGUAUUAGUUCGUUCGAUGACCUUGAGAAAGCGUUCAAGAUUGCUUUCGGAUAUAAAAUAAGGCGGAAAGGAUUAAACACAACUUUGUUGAGUGUCAGACAAGGGGAUCAGGAAUCAACGCGAGAAUAUAUGGACCGGUUUGCAGUAGCGGUUCAAAGGGUUGUAUGUUCGGAAGAAGCAAUUUUGAUGGCACUAGUCAAUGGUUUGAGGCCGACCAGGUUUUCGGGAGAUCUCGUACGAGACCGACCAUUAAUUUUUGCGGAAACAAUGGAAAGGUCAUACAAGGAGUCAAAUGUAGAAGAUUACCAUGAGG